RNAcentral lists this ribosomal RNA (439 nucleotides) under uncultured bacterium. RNAcentral describes it as "partial 16S ribosomal RNA". It matches the Rfam family "Bacterial small subunit ribosomal RNA", at positions 339 to 795 of the family's 1533-position model. The record is from RNAcentral.
CUACGGGUCGCUGCAGUGAGGAAUAUUGCACAAUGGGGGGAACCCUGAUGCAGCAACGCCGCGUGGAGGAUGACGCAUUUCGGUGUGUAAACUCCUUUUAUAUGCCAAGAAAAUGACGGUAGCAUAUGAAUAAGCACCGGCUAACUCCGUGCCAGCAGCCGCGGUAAUACGGAGGGUGCAAGCGUUACUCGGAAUCACUGGGCGUAAAGGACGCGUAGGCGGGUUGGAAAGUCAGGUGUGAAAUCCUACAGCUUAACUGUAGAACCGCACUUGAAACUUCUAAUCUAGAGUAUGGGAGGGGGAGAUGGAAUUAGUGGUGUAGGGGUAAAAUCCGUAGAUAUCACUAGGAAUACCUAAAGCGAAGGCGAUCUCCUGGAACAUUACUGACGCUAAGGCGUGAAAGCGUGGGGAGCAAACAGGAUUAGAUACCCUCGUAGUC